GACGAACGCUGGCGGCGUGCUUAACACAUGCAAGUCGAACGGAAAGGCCCUGCUUUUGUGGGGUGCUCGAGUGGCGAACGGGUGAGUAACACGUGAGUAACCUGCCCUUGACUUUGGGAUAACUUCAGGAAACUGGGGCUAAUACCGGAUAGGAGCUCCUGCUGCAUGGUGGGGGUUGGAAAGUUUCGGCGGUUGGGGAUGGACGCGCGGCUUAUCAGCUUGUUGGUGGGGUAGUGGCUUACCAAGGCUUUGACGGGUAGCCGGCCUGAGAGGGUGACCGGCCACAAUGGGACUGAGAUACGGCCCAGACUCCUACGGGAGGCAGCAGUGGGGAAUAUUGCACAAUGGGCGGAAGCCUGAUGCAGCAACGCCGCGUGCGGGAUGACGGCCUUCGGGUUGUAAACCGCUUUCGCCUGUGACGAAGCGUGAGUGACGGUAAUGGGUAAAGAAGCACCGGCUAACUACGUG
Molecule: ribosomal RNA, 468 nt
Filed under: uncultured bacterium
Lineage: Bacteria
Description: partial 16S ribosomal RNA
Rfam family: Bacterial small subunit ribosomal RNA
Source: RNAcentral